Molecule: transfer RNA, 76 nt
Filed under: Synergistales bacterium
Lineage: Bacteria; Thermotogati; Synergistota; Synergistia; Synergistales
Also listed under: 1 other name
Description: tRNA-Lys
Rfam family: tRNA
About the family: Transfer RNA (tRNA) molecules are approximately 80 nucleotides in length. Their secondary structure includes four short double-helical elements and three loops (D, anti-codon, and T loops).
Source: RNAcentral
GGGCCGUUAGCUCAGACGGUAGAGCACCUGACUCUUAAUCAGGGGGUCACAGGUUCGAUUCCUGUACGGCCCACCA